CAAGACCUUGCGCCUUUGGAGCGGCCGAUGUCUGAUUAGCUAGUUGGUGGGGUAAUGGCUUACCAAGGCUUCGAUCAGUAGCUGGUCUGAGAGGACGACCAGCCACACUGGGACUGAGACACGGCCCAGACUCCUACGGGAGGCAGCAGUGGGGAAUUUUGGACAAUGGGGGAAACCCUGAUCCAGCCAUGCCGCGUGAGUGAAGAAGGCCUUCGGGUUGUAAAGCUCUUUCAGCCGGAACGAAAAGGUCACGGCUAAUACCCGUGACAAAUGACGGUACCGGAAGAAGAAGCACCGGCUAACUACGUGCCAGCAGCCGCGGUAAUACGUAGGGUGCAAGCGUUAAUCGGAAUUACUGGGCGUAAAGCGUGCGCAGGCGGUUUUGUAAGUCAGAUGUGAAAUCCCCGGGCUUAACCUGGGAACU
This 424-nucleotide ribosomal RNA is filed under the name uncultured bacterium. RNAcentral describes it as "bacterial SSU rRNA". It matches the Rfam family "Bacterial small subunit ribosomal RNA", at positions 207 to 622 of the family's 1533-position model. The record is from RNAcentral.